CCUACGGGAGGCACCAGUGGGGAAUUUUCCGCAAUGGGCGAAAGCCUGACGGAGCAAUGCCGCGUGGAGGUAGAAGGCCCACGGGUCGUGAACUUCUUUUCCCGGAGAAGAAGCAAUGACGGUAUCUGGGGAAUAAGCCCCGGCUAACUUCGUGCCAGCAGCCGCGGUAAUACGAAGGGGGCUAGCGUUGUUCGGAAUUACUGGGCGUAAAGCGCGCGUAGGCGGAUAGAUAAGUCAGAGGUGAAAUCCCGGGGCUCAACCCCGGAAUUGCCUUUGAUACUGUUUAUCUUGAGUGCAGAAGAGGUAAGUGGAAUUCCGAGUGUAGAGGUGAAAUUCGUAGAUAUUGGGAAGAACACCGGUGGCGAAGGCGGCAACCUGGCUCGAUACUGACGCUGAGGCGCGAAAGCGUGGGGAGCAAACAGGAUUAGAUACCCGAGUAGUC
Molecule: ribosomal RNA, 442 nt
Filed under: uncultured bacterium
Lineage: Bacteria
Description: bacterial SSU rRNA
Rfam family: Bacterial small subunit ribosomal RNA
Source: RNAcentral